GGCUGGUCUGAAGGUAGUGAGUUAUCUCAAUUGAUUGUUCACGGUCAGUUACAGAUUGAACUCCUUGUUUUACUCUUUCCCCCUUCUCGCUACUGCACUUGACUAGUCUUAA
Unclassified non-coding RNA from Pan troglodytes (chimpanzee), 112 nucleotides. It matches the Rfam family "Y RNA". From Rfam's summary of the family: Y RNAs are components of the Ro ribonucleoprotein particle (Ro RNP), in association with Ro60 and La proteins. The record is from Ensembl. Lineage: Eukaryota; Metazoa; Chordata; Mammalia; Primates; Hominidae.